GAUGAACGCUAGCGAUAGGCUUAACACAUGCAAGUCGAGGGGCAGCAUGGUCUUAGCUUGCUAAGACUGAUGGCGACCGGCGCACGGGUGCGUAACGCGUAUGCAACUUGCCUCACAGAGGGGGAUAACCCGUCGAAAGACGGACUAAUACCGCGUACACUCUAUUUUGGGCAUCCAAGGUAGAGGAAAUGAAAUUCGCUGUGAGAUAGGCAUGCGUCCCAUUAGCUAGUUGGUGAGGUAACGGCCCACCAAGGCGACGAUGGGUAGGGGAACUGAGAGGUGGAACCCCCACACUGGUACUGAGACACGGACCAGACGCCUACGGGAGGCAGCAGUGAGGAAGAUAGGUCAAGGGGCGAGAGCCUGAACCAGCCAAGUCGCGUGAAGGAUGACUGUCUUAUGGAUUGUAAACUUCUUUUGUAGGGGAAUAAAGAGGGGCACGUGUGCCCCAGUGAAUGUACCCUACGAAUAAGCAUCGGCUAACUCCGUG
RNAcentral lists this ribosomal RNA (490 nucleotides) under uncultured bacterium. Its description in RNAcentral is "partial 16S ribosomal RNA". It matches the Rfam family "Bacterial small subunit ribosomal RNA", at positions 28 to 507 of the family's 1533-position model. The record is from RNAcentral.